This 255-nucleotide ribosomal RNA is filed under the name uncultured bacterium. RNAcentral describes it as "partial 16S ribosomal RNA". It matches the Rfam family "Bacterial small subunit ribosomal RNA", at positions 524 to 777 of the family's 1533-position model. The record is from RNAcentral.
UACGGGGGGGGCAAGCGUUGUUCGGAAUUACUGGGCGUAAAGGGCUCGUAGGCGGCCAACUAAGUCAUACGUGAAAUCCCUCGGCUUAACCGGGGAACUGCGUCUGAUACUGGAUGGCUUGAGUUCGGGAGAGGGAUGCGGAAUUCCAGGUGUAGCGGUGAAAUGCGUAGAUAUCUGGAGGAACACCGGGUGGCGAAGGCGGCAUCCUGGACCGAUACUGACGCUGAGGAGCGAAAGCCAGGGGAGCAAACGGGG